GGAGAGAUGGCCGAGCGGCUUAUGGCAGCUGCCUGCUAAGCAGUUGGCCCGGCAACGGGCUCGGGGGUUCGAAUCCCCCUCUCUCCGCCA
Molecule: transfer RNA, 90 nt
Filed under: bacterium
Lineage: Bacteria
Description: tRNA-Ser
Rfam family: tRNA
About the family: Transfer RNA (tRNA) molecules are approximately 80 nucleotides in length. Their secondary structure includes four short double-helical elements and three loops (D, anti-codon, and T loops). Further hydrogen bonds mediate the characteristic L-shaped molecular structure. tRNAs have two regions of fundamental functional importance: the anti-codon, which is responsible for specific mRNA codon recognition, and the 3' end, to which the tRNAs corresponding amino acid is attached (by aminoacyl-tRNA synthetases). tRNAs cope with the degeneracy of the genetic code in two manners: having more than one tRNA (with a specific anti-codon) for a particular amino acid; and 'wobble' base-pairing, i.e. permitting non-standard base-pairing at the 3rd anti-codon position.
Source: RNAcentral